RNAcentral lists this ribosomal RNA (451 nucleotides) under uncultured bacterium. RNAcentral describes it as "partial 16S ribosomal RNA". It matches the Rfam family "Bacterial small subunit ribosomal RNA", at positions 29 to 523 of the family's 1533-position model. The record is from RNAcentral.
AACGAACGCUGGCGGCAGGCUUAACACAUGCAAGUCGAACGGGCAUAGCAAUAUGUCAGUGGCAGACGGGUGAGUAACACGUGGGAACCUUCCUAGAGGUACGGAACAACGCAGGGAAACUUGUGCUAAUACCGUAUACGCUCGAGAGAGGAAAGAUUUAUCGCCUUUAGACGGGCCCGCGUAGGAUUAGGUAGUUGGUGAGGUAACGGCCCACCAAGCCUACGAUCCUUAGCUGACAUGAGAGGAUGAUCAGCCACACUGGGACUGAGACACGGCCCAGACUCCUACGGGAGGCAGCAGUGGGGAAUCUUGGACAAUGGGCGCAAGCCUGAUCCAGCCAUGCCGCGUGAGUGAAGAAGGCCUUCGGGUUGUAAAGCUCUUUUACCAGGGACGAUAAUGACGGUACCUGGAGAAUAAGCCCCGGCUAACUUCGUGCCAGCCGCCGCCGUAA